Small nuclear RNA from Phyllostomus discolor (pale spear-nosed bat), 104 nucleotides. The record is from RefSeq and is a predicted model, not a curated record. Lineage: Eukaryota; Metazoa; Chordata; Mammalia; Chiroptera; Phyllostomidae.
GUGCUCACUUUGGCAGCACAUAUGCUAAAAAUGGGACAAUACAGAGAUUAGCAUGGCCCCUAUGCAAGGACAACAAGCAAAUUUUUAAAGCAUUCCAUAUUUUU